Molecule: long non-coding RNA, 3474 nt
Organism: Lutra lutra (Eurasian river otter)
Lineage: Eukaryota; Metazoa; Chordata; Mammalia; Carnivora; Mustelidae
Exons: 4
Source: RefSeq, a predicted model, not a curated record
UAAGUCACCAGGGACAGCAGACAGGAUGGUCAUCUUACUUCUGCUCCUUUCCAGGGAACAGGCAAGCGAACUGCUGCAGGGAGAAACAGAGAAGGGGGCAGGAAAACAAGUAAGUCGCAGCACGGGGGGAGCAGGGAGGAGAGAGAAUGGCAACAGACAUGGGAGCUCAGCUGCCAGCAAAGAUCUGAGGCGCUACAUUGCUCCAAGGAGGGGAGGCAAGCCUUCCCGAAUCCAGGCGCCCCAACAUGAUUGUGAAAGCCGCACCCAUGGGCCCACAGACAGCCAACACUGCUGUAGAACCAGUGAGACACCUUGGGAAGCUGCUCAGGUUUCUGGAGACAUCUCUGUAAAAGGUGUGCCCUCUGUCCCUGGUGGAUGCUUGGAACCCCAGUGGGAGGCGAUCCCAGAGCUGCCACCAGAGCUGAAAAUCCUAUUUUUUUUUUUUUUUAAGGCAAAGUUAAUUUCAGAAAUUUUGUUCUCAAUUUUGUUCUAGGGCUCCAAGCCAAUUCCUUCCUUCCCAGUGGCGGCUGGCCGGCAGGGCAGACUGAGCAGGCGCAAAGAGCUUUGAUGUCAACAGAGGUAGGCAGGGCAGGCCCCAGUGGAAAACUGUGAAGUCAGCAGAGUUAUCUCCGGCACUCCGCCCUUCCCCCUUGCUUCCCCUUUCUCCACCCAUUUCCCCCUCUCAGCUUCCAGCUUCUCAUUUCCCAGGGGACCCUGGAACAUAUGAAAACCCACCCCUCCAAAGAUAGGAGGGGGCCUGCUCAUGGCUCCAGCUAUCAAAGUCUGCCUUUCUCCCCCCGCGUCUAAAACAAACAAAGGCGUGCAUUCCAUACAUUUCCUAAGGAAGGAGAGUGAAUACAGAAACCUUGUCCUUUGUGCUCUCCUGGUGAAACCCCAAGAGCCUGGGGCCUCAAGUUUGAAGCUGUCUUCCUGCCUCCUGGGACUUUAAAAGGAAUCAGAAGUGCCUCAAACCAAUGCAUCUGCUUGGUUUAUGGCUCAAAUGUAAACCACAAAUUAUAAAAUGAUAAAUCGCUGUUCGAAUCUCUUCCAGGAAAGACUAUGUUGUCAAGAUUAAGUUACAGCCUCAUGGCCGUAUGAGUGAGUCUCGCUGCUGACUAACUCUCUCACUCAUUUUCCUGCUGGAAAUGUUUUUUUCUUCUUGAACUUUCACUGUUUCUGAACACUUUAAACAAAGAAAAUGACUGAAGGCAGGAAAAACAUCGGGGACUUCUCAACCCAUGGAGCCUUUUACAGGCUUUAUUAUGUAACGGCUGCUUUCAUUUUGUGAGCACCAAAGGAAGUUGAAGAAAUCUCUUUCUUCUUGAGCGCUUAACUGCCAGGGAACGGUGAGACAUGGUUUCACGUGGGCAGUGACCCUCACUUCAGACGCUCGUCGGAAUGUGGAGUGUGUGGUAAAUCAAAGCCGCCUUAAGGAAUCUGGGUCUUAAAGUAUCUGUUCCGUGAUUUGAGCAGGAUUGCAACAUGAGUUACUGUAUUUCGCCCACAUGAAAAUCAAUUCUUUAGACUUCUCUCACAGGGCCUGGUCUAGCGACAGAGGAGUGUGACAAGUAAUGAGGCCCCAUGCAGGCUUUCCCAUAAGGAUGCUCCUCUCUGCCAGAGCUUUGGCAGGCCAAAGGAGGAGCCAUGAGGUCCCUUGAUUGAGAGACCCUAACAUGCCUGGCUGUGGGUCUGUCACCCUGACCUCAUUUUGAGGACCUGAGGCUGCAGGAAGCAACCCAGCUGUCCAUCGUCUUUCUCCAGCACAGUGCCUUUGGUGAUACAACCCUGACCUGGUUUCUCCAAGGCCACUCAAGGCCUGAGGACUAUCAGACCGUGAGUCAGAAUCAGGGCAACCUUUCCUCCUAAGCUCCUUCUGAUUUAUUUUAUACCUCAGCCCCUUCAGUCUCUUUCUUGGGGUCCCCACGUCCUCACAGCGGUUUUCACUUUCUGACACUUUUCCACAGUAUCGCCCACACCAGCGCCUCCAGGCCCCACCCCAGCUCCUCUUGUCUGCUUUUCCUGAAGUCGGCCUGCUGUCUUUACUCCUGCUUUUUCUGGGACACUUCAAGUUGUGGAGAGAGGUUUUAUUUGUUUGAAGAUCCGGAGAUCAAAACUGUUCAAUAAUUCGCCCAAAGUCACAAAACUGCAGGUUGUUUUUUAUUUUGCACCACUAACAAAUAAAAUUGUGAGGAGACUUCUUGGUAGAUACCUCGAUACCUGUGAUGAUUUGCUUUGGGCUCCUUCCUAGAAGUGAAGAUGCUGAGUUAAAGCUGAAAAGAGUGGAGUUCAAGAUAGAAGCUUGGAUCCUUGAAUGACUUCAUGGAGCAGAGUCCCCUGAUGAUCUGCAUUGGUUACUGAUAGAAGUGACAACAUUUUAUUAUAUUAAGCUAAUUAAAAUUUGGGGACUGUUUGUGAUAGCAUCUAGCUUAUCUUGACUAACACUGAAAAAGAAACCUUUAAGUCGAAUGCUGCUCUAAGGAAAAAAGAACUAAAACAUGUAAUCUUGAAUUCAUAGUAGGUUAGAGAUGGUGUGAAAACAAAUAUUGGAGGUUGAAUUACUCCAGAGACUUGCCAUGGCAUGGCAAAAGAUUUGCUACAACUGUUGCUUAUGCAACCUGGAAGGUAGUGCACUAAGUGCCUAGUAAGCCUAUCACUCUAGAGGAAGUUUUUGAAAAGAGAGUAAUAAUAUGUGUUGGCUACUAUUUGCUAACCUUAGUAAAGCAUUGCAGGAAAGAGAAAAACUCAAGCAAGAAUUGACUGCUUUGGAAACAGAAAUAAAAGAGAAUUAGAGAAGCCUAGAAAUUUUGAAGCUAAAAGAUUAGAAAGCUGACUACUUCUAGAUAGGAAACAAAAUAUUAAAUACCUUUGAGCAAUGAAGAUCCAUUUAGAUCCAGACUACAAUGAUCUGACUAAGAGUGUGGUCUUCUCAUCCAAAUCUAAUGGCUUGAAUUAGUCCCCUAUUAAAUUCAGGGAGAGAAAGGAAAUGGAGAAGGAAAGCAAAGACAAAAAUCAUGCAUAAGAAUUAUGUGUAGGAAAGAAGUAUGGGUGUGGUUAUUGGCACAUAUUGCUGACUCGAAGCAAGUGGAUCAGAAACCUACCAAGUUUUUGAGGGAAUCAUGUUCUCAAAGAAAUUCUUUGAUUACUUGAGUUGGAAAUAAUCUUUGAUCUCAUAUUUGUACCAGUAAGGAGUGAGCUGAACAGGCUAUAAGGAAGGUAUAUUUCUCAACAAGCUCUCAUAGACUAGCAAAGCCAGGGGCCAUGGAGUACAACGGACGAGGAAAUUCCUUGGAAGGAAGAUUAAGAUUUAAGCAAAGAACUUUCCUUGCCUUUCAUAAUGCUUAUCCCAGCAUUCUGGUUAUAGAAACAUUGUGCUUAUCCCAGGAUUCCAGAAUUGCUGUGGAAGAAUAAUUGCUAUAUUACUCCUGCUAGUUGUCCUUUUUCUGCACCAGCAUUUAUUUCAUUUUUCCUGUCUUU